RNAcentral lists this transfer RNA (66 nucleotides) under Marmota monax (woodchuck). RNAcentral's name for it is "tRNA.Ala". The record is from RNAcentral. Lineage: Eukaryota; Metazoa; Chordata; Mammalia; Rodentia; Sciuridae.
GGUGGUGGCUCAGUGGUAGAGCACUUGCCUAGCAUUGUAAGGCACUGGGUUCAAUUCUCAGCACCA